This 196-nucleotide ribosomal RNA is filed under the name Shigella flexneri. RNAcentral's name for it is "partial 23S ribosomal RNA". It matches the Rfam family "Bacterial large subunit ribosomal RNA", at positions 2747 to 2925 of the family's 2925-position model. Lineage: Bacteria; Pseudomonadati; Pseudomonadota; Gammaproteobacteria; Enterobacterales; Enterobacteriaceae. The record is from RNAcentral.
AGCUAAAUGCGGAAGAGAUAAGUGCUGAAAGCAUCUAAGCACGAAACUUGCCCCGAGAUGAGUUCUCCCUGACCCUUUAAGGGUCCUGAAGGAACGUUGAAGACGACGACGUUGAUAGGCCGGGUGUGUAAGCGCAGCGAUGCGUUGAGCUAACCGGUACUAAUGAACCGUGAGGCUUAACCUUACAACGCCGAAG